RNAcentral lists this ribosomal RNA (928 nucleotides) under uncultured bacterium. Its description in RNAcentral is "bacterial SSU rRNA". It matches the Rfam family "Bacterial small subunit ribosomal RNA", at positions 1 to 920 of the family's 1533-position model. The record is from RNAcentral.
CAGAAUUCGCCCUUAGAGUUUGAUCCUGGCUCAGGAUGAACGCUGGCGGCGUGCCUAACACAUGCAAGUCGAACGGAACUUCUUUGACAGAAUUCUUCGGAAGGAAGUUGAUUAAGUUUAGUGGCGGACGGGUGAGUAACGCGUGAGUAACCUGCCUUUGAGAGGGGAAUAACUUCCCGAAAGGGAUGCUAAUACCGCAUAAUGCAUAUUUAUCGCAUGGUAGAUGUGCCAAAGAUUUAUCGCUCAAAGAUGGACUCGCGUCCGAUUAGCCAGUUGGCGGGGUAACGGCCCACCAAAGCGACGAUCGGUAGCCGGACUGAGAGGUUGAACGGCCACAUUGGGACUGAGACACGGCCCAGACUCCUACGGGAGGCAGCAGUGGGGGAUAUUGCGCAAUGGGGGAAACCCUGACGCAGCAACGCCGCGUGAAGGAUGAAGGUUUUCGGAUUGUAAACUUCUUUUAUUUAGGACGAACAAUGACGGUACUAAAUGAAUAAGCUCCGGCUAACUACGUGCCAGCAGCCGCGGUAAUACGUAGGGAGCAAGCGUUAUCCGGAUUUACUGGGUGUAAAGGGUGCGUAGGCGGCUUGGUAAGUCAGAUGUGAAAUGUAUGGGCUCAACCCAUGCACUGCAUUUGAAACUAUUGAGCUUGAGUGAAGUAGAGGUAGGCGGAAUUCCCUGUGUAGCGGUGAAAUGCGUAGAGAUAGGGAGGAACACCAGUGGCGAAGGCGGCCUACUGGGCUUUAACUGACGCUGAGGCACAAAAGCGUGGGUAGCAAACAGGAUUAGAUACCCUGGUAGUCCACGCUGUAAACGAUGAUUACUAGGUGUGGGGGGUCUGACCCCUUCCGUGCCGGAGUUAACACAAUAAGUAAUCCACCUGGGGAGUACGACCGCAAGGUUGAAACUCAAAGGAAUUGACGGAAGG